AAAACGACUCUCGGCAACGGAUAUCUCGGCUCUCGCAUCGAUGAAGAACGUAGCGAAAUGCGAUACUUGGUGUGAAUUGCAGAAUCCCGUGAACCAUCGAGUCUUUGAACGCAAGUUGCGCCCAAAGCCUUUUGGUUGAGGGCACGUCUGCCUGGGU
This 157-nucleotide ribosomal RNA is filed under the name Clusia heterosavia. Its description in RNAcentral is "5.8S ribosomal RNA". It matches the Rfam family "5.8S ribosomal RNA". From Rfam's summary of the family: 5.8S ribosomal RNA (5.8S rRNA) is a component of the large subunit of the eukaryotic ribosome. It is transcribed by RNA polymerase I as part of the 45S precursor that also contains 18S and 28S rRNA. The record is from RNAcentral. Lineage: Eukaryota; Viridiplantae; Streptophyta; Magnoliopsida; Malpighiales; Clusiaceae. RNAcentral also lists the same sequence under 16 other names.